GACGAACGCUGGCGGCAUGCCUAAUACAUGCAAGUCGAGCGAACAGAUGAAGUGCUUGCACUUCUGACGUUAGCGGCGAACGGGUGAGUAACACGUAAGGAAUCUACCUAUAAGCGGGGGAUAACAUUCGGAAACGGGUGCUAAUACCGCAUAAUAUCUUCUUCCGCAUGGAAGAAGAUUGAAAGACGGCUCUGCUGUCACUUAUAGAUGACCUUGCGGUGCAUUAGUUAGUUGGUGGGGUAACGGCCUACCAAGACGAUGAUGCAUAGCCGACCUGGGAGGGUGAUCGGCCACAUUGGGACUGGGACACGGCCCAAGCUCCUACGGGAGGCAGCAGUAGGGAAUCUUCCGCAAUGGGCGAAAGCCUGACGGAGCAAUGCCGCGUGAGUGAAGAAGGCCUUCGGGUCGUAAAACUCUGUUAUAAGAGAAGAACAAAUUGUAGAGUAACUGCUACAGUCUUGACGGUAUCUUAUCAGAAAGCCACGGCUAACUACGUGCCAGCCGCCGCCGUAA
RNAcentral lists this ribosomal RNA (513 nucleotides) under uncultured bacterium. Its description in RNAcentral is "partial 16S ribosomal RNA". It matches the Rfam family "Bacterial small subunit ribosomal RNA", at positions 28 to 523 of the family's 1533-position model. The record is from RNAcentral.